CCGGAGAAUGUUAUCACGGGAGACACACGGCGGGUGCUAACGUCCGUCGUGAAGAGGGAAACAACCCAGACCGCCAGCUAAGGUCCCAAAGUCAUGGUUAAGUGGGAAACGAUGUGGGAAGGCCCAGACAGCCAGGAUGUUGGCUUAGAAGCAGCCAUCAUUUAAAGAAAGCGUAAUAGCUCACUGGUCGAGUCGGCCUGCGCGGAAGAUGUAACGGGGCUAAACCAUGCACCGAAGCUGCGGCAGCGACGCUUAUGCGUUGUUGGGUAGGGGAGCGUUCUGUAAGCCUGCGAAGGUGUGCUGUGAGGCAUGCUGGAGGUAUCAGAAGUGCGAAUGCUGACAUAAGUAACGAUAAAGCGGGUGAAAAGCCCGCUCGCCGGAAGACCAAGGGUUCCUGUCCAACGUUAAUCGGGGCAGGGUGAGUCGACCCCUAAGGCGAGGCCGAAAGGCGUAGUCGAUGGGAAACAGGUUAAUAUUCCUGUACUUGGUGUUACUGCGAAGGGGGGACGGAGAAGGCUAUGUUGGCCGGGCGACGGUUGUCCCGGUUUAAGCGUGUAGGCUGGUUUUCCAGGCAAAUCCGGAAAAUCAAGGCUGAGGCGUGAUGACGAGGCACUACGGUGCUGAAGCAACAAAUGCCCUGCUUCCAGGAAAAGCCUCUAAGCAUCAGGUAACAUCAAAUCGUACCCCAAACCGACACAGGUGGUCAGGUAGAGAAUACCAAGGCGCUUGAGAGAACUCGGGUGAAGGAACUAGGCAAAAUGGUGCCGUAACUUCGGGAGAAGGCACGCUGAUAUGUAGGUGAAGUCCCUUGCGGAUGGAGCUGAAAUCAGUCGAAGAUACCAGCUGGCUGCAACUGUUUAUUAAAAACACAGCACUGUGCAAACACGAAAGUGGACGUAUACGGUGUGACGCCUGCCCGGUGCCGGAAGGUUAAUUGAUGGGGUCAGCGCAAGCGAAGCUCUUGAUCGAAGCCCCGGUAAACGGCGGCCGUAACUAUAACGGUCCUAAGGUAGCGAAAUUCCUUGUCGGGUAAGUUCCGACCUGCACGAAUGGCGUAAUGAUGGCCAGGCUGUCUCCACCCGAGACUCAGUGAAAUUGAACUCGCUGUGAAGAUGCAGUGUACCCGCGGCAAGACGGAAAGACCCCGUGAACCUUUACUAUAGCUUGACACUGAACAUUGAGCCUUGAUGUGUAGGAUAGGUGGGAGGCUUUGAAGUGUGGACGCCAGUCUGCAUGGAGCCGGCCUUGAAAUACCACCCUUUAAUGUUUGAUGUUCUAACGUGGACCCGUGAUCCGGGUUGCGGACAGUGUCUGGUGGGUAGUUUGACUGGGGCGGUCUCCUCCUAAAGAGUAACGGAGGAGCACGAAGGUUGGCUAAUCCUGGUCGGACAUCAGGAGGUUAGUGCAAUGGCAUAAGCCAGCUUGACUGCGAGCGUGACGGCGCGAGCAGGUGCGAAAGCAGGUCAUAGUGAUCCGGUGGUUCUGAAUGGAAGGGCCAUCGCUCAACGGAUAAAAGGUACUCCGGGGAUAACAGGCUGAUACCGCCCAAGAGUUCAUAUCGACGGCGGUGUUUGGCACCUCGAUGUCGGCUCAUCACAUCCUGGGGCUGAAGUAGGUCCCAAGGGUAUGGCUGUUCGCCAUUUAAAGUGGUACGCGAGCUGGGUUUAGAACGUCGUGAGACAGUUCGGUCCCUAUCUGCCGUGGGCGCUGGAGAACUGAGGGGGGCUGCUCCUAGUACGAGAGGACCGGAGUGGACGCAUCACUGGUGUUCGGGUUGUCAUGCCAAUGGCACUGCCCGGUAGCUAAAUGCGGAAGAGAUAAGUGCUGAAAGCAUCUAAGCACGAAACUUGCCCCGAGAUGAGUUCUCCCUGACCCUUUAAGGGUCCUGAAGGAACGUUGA
Molecule: ribosomal RNA, 1900 nt
Filed under: Escherichia coli
Lineage: Bacteria; Pseudomonadati; Pseudomonadota; Gammaproteobacteria; Enterobacterales; Enterobacteriaceae
Also listed under: 1 other name
Description: partial 23S ribosomal RNA
Rfam family: Bacterial large subunit ribosomal RNA
Source: RNAcentral